Chrysoperla carnea is the source of this 191-nucleotide long non-coding RNA. RefSeq lists it as uncharacterized. Lineage: Eukaryota; Metazoa; Arthropoda; Insecta; Neuroptera; Chrysopidae. The transcript has 2 exons. The record is from RefSeq and is a predicted model, not a curated record.
UCCAUCCUAGAAGCCGCUUCAUCAGCACGUUUGGCAAUUGUGUAUAAUUGGUCGAAUGUAGUUGGCAAGGGCCAAAUGGUUGACAAGAAUUGAAGGUACUUUGGAGAAGCACCGUCGCAGAUGUGUGUGGGUUUCCGUUGGUUCUUGGAAUCGGAAUAUUUUUGUCAACUGCAAUCGACUUUUUUGCAUUG